GCCCCCGUAGCUCAAUGGACAGAGCGCCAGUCUUCUAAACUGUAGGUUGCAGGUUCGAAUCCUGCCGGGGGUG
Molecule: transfer RNA, 73 nt
Filed under: Chloroflexota bacterium
Lineage: Bacteria; Bacillati; Chloroflexota
Description: Chloroflexi bacterium (anaerobic digester metagenome) tRNA-Arg
Rfam family: tRNA
About the family: Transfer RNA (tRNA) molecules are approximately 80 nucleotides in length. Their secondary structure includes four short double-helical elements and three loops (D, anti-codon, and T loops). Further hydrogen bonds mediate the characteristic L-shaped molecular structure. tRNAs have two regions of fundamental functional importance: the anti-codon, which is responsible for specific mRNA codon recognition, and the 3' end, to which the tRNAs corresponding amino acid is attached (by aminoacyl-tRNA synthetases). tRNAs cope with the degeneracy of the genetic code in two manners: having more than one tRNA (with a specific anti-codon) for a particular amino acid; and 'wobble' base-pairing, i.e. permitting non-standard base-pairing at the 3rd anti-codon position.
Source: RNAcentral